AUACGGAGGGGGCAAGCGUUGUUCGGAAUCACUGGGCGUAAAGAGCACGUAGGCGGGCCCUCAAGUCGGGUGUGAAAACUGGUGGCUCAACUGCCAGCCUGCAUUCGAUACUGAGGAUCUUGAGUACGGGAGAGGAAAGCGCAAUUCCAGGUGUAGCGGUGAAAUGCGUAGAUAUCGGGAGGAACAUCAGUGGCGAAGGCGGCCACCUGGACAUUUACUGACGCUGAGGUGCGAAAGCGUGGGGAGCAAACAGGAUUAGAAACCCCAGUAGUCC
This 274-nucleotide ribosomal RNA is filed under the name uncultured bacterium. RNAcentral's name for it is "partial 16S ribosomal RNA". It matches the Rfam family "Bacterial small subunit ribosomal RNA", at positions 523 to 796 of the family's 1533-position model. The record is from RNAcentral.